GGAGCUGAAGUCAGUCGAAGAUACCAGCUGGCUGCAACUGUUUAUUAAAAACACAGCACUGUGCAAACACGAAAGUGGACGUAUACGGUGUGACGCCUGCCCGGUGCCGGAAGGUUAAUUGAUGGGGUCAGCGCAAGCGAAGCUCCUGAUCGAAGCCCCGGUAAACGGCGGCCGUAACUAUAACGGUCCUAAGGUAGCGAAAUUCCUUGUCGGGUAAGUUCCGACCUGCACGAAUGGCGUAAUGAUGGCCAGGCUGUCUCCACCCGAGACUCAGUGAAAUUGAACUCGCUGUGAAGAUGCAGUGUACCCGCGGCAAGACGGAAAGACCCCGUGAACCUUUACUAUAGCUUGACACUGAACAUUGAGCCUUGAUGUGUAGGAUAGGUGGGAGGCUUUGAAGUGUGGACGCCAGUCUGCAUGGAGCCGACCUUGAAAUACCACCCUUUAAUGUUUGAUGUUCUAACGUGGACCCGUAAUCCGGGUUGCGGACAGUGUCUGGUGGGUAGUUUGACUGGGGCGGUCUCCUCCUAAAGAGUAACGGAGGAGCACGAAGGUUGGCUAAUCCUGGUCGGACAUCAGGAGGUUAGUGCAAUGGCAUAAGCCAGCUUGACUGCGAGCGUGACGGCGCGAGCAGGUGCGAAAGCAGGUCAUAGUGAUCCGGUGGUUCUGAAUGGAAGGGCCAUCGCUCAACGGAUAAAAGGUACUCCGGGGAUAACAGGCUGAUACCGCCCAAGAGUUCAUAUCGACGGCGGUGUUUGGCACCUCGAUGUCGGCUCAUCACAUCCUGGGGCUGAAGUAGGUCCCAAGGGUAUGGCUGUUCGCCAUUUAAAGUGGUACGCGAGCUGGGUUUAGAACGUCGUGAGACAGUUCGGUCCCUAUCUGCCGUGGGCGCUGGAGAACUGAGGGGGGCUGCUCCUAGUACGAGAGGACCGGAGUGGACGCAUCACUGGUGUUCGGGUUGUCAUGCCAAUGGCACUGCCCGGUAGCUAAAUGCGGAAGAGAUAAGUGCUGAAAGCAUCUAAGCACGAAACUUGCCCCGAGAUGAGUUCUCCCUGAGACUUUAGGUCUCCUGAAGGAACGUUGAAGACGACGACGUUGAUAGGCCGGGUGUGUAAGCGCAGCGAUGCGUUGAGCUAACCGGUACUAAUGAACCGUGAGGCUUAA
Molecule: ribosomal RNA, 1164 nt
Filed under: Salmonella enterica subsp. enterica serovar Bovismorbificans str. Sal678
Lineage: Bacteria; Pseudomonadati; Pseudomonadota; Gammaproteobacteria; Enterobacterales; Enterobacteriaceae
Description: bacterial LSU rRNA
Rfam family: Bacterial large subunit ribosomal RNA
Source: RNAcentral